Molecule: non-coding RNA, 30 nt
Filed under: Rattus norvegicus (Norway rat)
Lineage: Eukaryota; Metazoa; Chordata; Mammalia; Rodentia; Muridae
Source: RNAcentral
UAGAAGAGGCUAAUGACUGUAGCAUGGUAU